CGUGGGUAACCUGCCCAAGAGAUCGGGAUAACACCUGGAAACAGAUGCUAAUACCGGAUAACAACAGAUGAUGCCUAUCAACUGUUUAAAAGAUGGUUCUGCUAUCACUCUUGGAUGGACCUGCGGUGCAUUAGCUAGUUGGUAGGGUAACGGCCUACCAAGGCGAUGAUGCAUAGCCGAGUUGAGAGACUGAUCGGCCACAUUGGGACUGAGACACGGCCCAAACUCCUACGGGAGGCAGCACGCC
RNAcentral lists this ribosomal RNA (247 nucleotides) under uncultured Lactobacillus sp. RNAcentral describes it as "partial 16S ribosomal RNA". It matches the Rfam family "Bacterial small subunit ribosomal RNA", at positions 116 to 353 of the family's 1533-position model. The record is from RNAcentral. Lineage: Bacteria; Bacillati; Bacillota; Bacilli; Lactobacillales; Lactobacillaceae.